This 447-nucleotide long non-coding RNA is filed under the name Triticum aestivum (bread wheat). RNAcentral's name for it is "long non-coding RNA (TAES_LNC014336)". Lineage: Eukaryota; Viridiplantae; Streptophyta; Magnoliopsida; Poales; Poaceae. The record is from RNAcentral.
CAAACAAAAAUAGCACAUUAAUUACUUCUCACAAACGGAGGAGGUAGCCAAUUAAGAGGAAACAUUUAUGGUUCAGUGACCGAGAGACCGGAUAGGUUUACAAAAUGAUAGCCAAUAGAUAUAUGUCCUACAAAUCAUGCGUCUUACAUUACACAGAAUAUCCACUUGACUGAGACACCAUAUAUGAUAGCUAAUAGACACAUGUCCAGCGAUUCAUAGUCCUCUCCAUUACACAGUUAACGCAAACUGCGAGCUUCAUGGUUCCUGGUCAUCUUGUAUGUCUUUCCUACAAAGAAUCAAGGCAAUGGGAAAGUUUCAGCUUAUAUUCCUAACGAGGGAAAGCUCCUGGUUCAACAAUUAGUGUCCAAUCUUAAACCCACAUACACCUAAAUAUAGCAGCAACAACAGAAUAGGAAAAUUGAUUCACCUCAUACAUUUCCCUGCACU